UCGGGAAUUUUGGGCAAUGGGGGAAAGCCUGACCCAGCAACGCCGCGUGAAGGAUGAAGUAUUUCGGUAUGUAAACUUCGAAAGAAUAGGAAGAAUAAAUGACGGUACUAUUUAUAAGGUCCGGCUAACUACGUGCCAGCAGCCGCGGUAAUACGUAGGGACCAAGCGUUGUUCGGAUUUACUGGGCGUAAAGGGCGCGUAGGCGGCAUGACAAGUCACUUGUGAAAUCUCUGGGCUUAACCCAGAACGGCCAAGUGAUACUGUCGCGCUAGAGUGCAGAAGGGGCAAUCGGAAUUCUUGGUGUAGCGGUGAAAUGCGUAGAUAUUGGGAAGAACACCGGUGGCGUAGGCGACUAGCUGGGCUGUAACUGACGCUGAGGAACGAAAGCCAGGGGAGCGAAUGGAAUUAGAUACCCCUGUAGUCCCUGAGCGGGCUGGCAAGGCGCAU
This 447-nucleotide ribosomal RNA is filed under the name uncultured bacterium. RNAcentral describes it as "bacterial SSU rRNA". It matches the Rfam family "Bacterial small subunit ribosomal RNA", at positions 355 to 825 of the family's 1533-position model. The record is from RNAcentral.